Molecule: long non-coding RNA, 3363 nt
Organism: Equus caballus (horse)
Lineage: Eukaryota; Metazoa; Chordata; Mammalia; Perissodactyla; Equidae
Source: Ensembl
GAGAACCUGAUAAAAUCUUGCUACUCAAAGUGUGGUCCCUGGACCAACUGCAUUGCUAUCACCUAGAAGCUGGUUAAGAAUAAGGCUUCAUUAUGACUUCAAUGGGCCAUAGGUGCUUUCGGCUUCGUGGGCCCUUCCUCCAUAAAGAAAAUUGGAAAGCAGAGCUCACUCUUGUCCUGGCAUGAAUAUCUAUCAUGAAGCUGUCAUGAUAUCCUGUCCUGAAAUGAGAUGAGAAAAGUUAUCUGAUCCCUGGAGACUGAAAUGAAUAACGGUGCUGCUGGUUUCCAUCAGCAGGGCCAGCAGCGGAGGCUGAGAGGGGCCCAGCUCAGCUGGUCUUUAAUUCAGUGCAGAGCAUCUUGGACAUCGAGAAGGCAGCAAUAAGAAGCUCGCCGGCCACUGUGUACACACAGGAGCAUGGAGCAUAAUGGAGUGACACCGGCUACCCUCUCCUUAGCUGACUUCAAGAGACUAAAGAAAAUUUAAGACUCAAGAGUCUCCACAUGAUUGAGAAGUCAGAGAGGUGUAUGGGGAAGUCCUCUUGCCUGGAAGCCAGAUAACCUGGAUUCACUUCCAAGUUUACCCCUGACUUCCUUGUGAAGACAUGGCGAGAAGUUGGUCAUCUACCAGCCAGGAAGAGAGCCCUCACCAAGAACCCAAGCAUGCUGGUACCCUAAUCUCAGCCUUCCAGCCUCCAGAACUAUUUUUUUCCACCACUUUGGCAGGAGUGAGAUAUCCGGCAAAGAGGGGGCCCAGCAAGGGAAGUGGGCUCCUUGUGCCUGAUAGCACUCCCCAUGGGGAAGGUCAAGGAGACCUUCAUUUCACUUCAUUUCAGCCAUCUGCAGUCUACAUCCAACCUCACAUUUCCUGUCUCCGAAGAGUCUCACCAGAUCCUAAGUUGGCCAGGCCUCGAGAAAACUGAGAAACCACACUGUCUUGGUCCAAAGAAAUGGAGACACAGGGCCUACAUUUUUCUCUUCCAUUAACAUUCAAGUAUUUUAAUGAACACCAGAUUUUACUAUUGGUUCCUAGGGGAGGAUAUUUGAGUUUUCUGUGGCUCACUUUAUUUUUAAUAUUUAAAAAUCUUUUCCCUCAAUGAGGCAUAACCAUAAUUGCAUUUGUAAGAAGUGGGCUGUAUGUAUUUGGUUAUAAAUGUGGUGGCAAGAAUUAACUUCGUGUUCCUUUUGUAAGGUGCUUUUCUCUUUCUUUUCUUUCUUUUUUAAUUUAUCAAGACCGGAAGGUUUUUAAGUCAACCCAGAUCUGUAAUGAGUGAAUACCACUUCACGAUAACUUAUAAGAAGCCAUCUAAGCAGGUUUAUAUAAAGGAAAACUCCUCUGCAAUAGAAAGGGUAUUCAGAUUGCUCCAUCUAACCACAAAGAAGAGCCAAUCAUCCCCAAAGUAUAAAGUGGUUUAAAAACAGGGAAUUGAGAACUAAAUUUGAAGCUGACAUCUUGACAGUCUCAUGACCUAGUUUUGGGCACAAAGCUAUACAAGAGUGACAAAUGAGGGAAAAAAGAAGGAGAGGCAAAUGGAAGGAGCCAGAGGAAAAGAAGAAAAAAAGAAAGAGGAUGAUGGUGGAGUGAUGAGAAGAAAAGGCAUCAAAAAACAAUUAAGAAUGAAAUACUAUAACAGAAUAUAGCCGACUGACCAACUUAAAGCUGUUGUUUGGCAAUUUUCCUGUGUGUUGGUGAGCCGAAAUCUACAUGUCAUCAACCAAUUGGAUUGGAUGAAAUCCAAAGAAUGAACUAUUAGAAACAAAAUUUGGUUGGUCGCUGUUUGGGAUGUGAAAUGGUUUUGUAAGCAUUUCAGCUUGAUGCCCAGGCAGGCAGUCACAAUAAUUCUUCUCCAAAUAAAUGAGGACUACUAUUUUUUUAUUCAUUACUUCAAUAAGAAAAGUUUAACCAGUGAAAGGAUUUGCAAAACACUGCAUCAUAAAAAUCCUAAAGUCAAUCACAACAGAAGUUAGUGCUCUGUAAAUAUUUUUGCAAAGGUUUGGACGAUCUUUUCUUCCUAUAAAUACUUGUCUACCCAGUAAAGGAAAUGAAAAGUCAAAAGAGAAAAAUGUGUUGUCUCAUUUAUAGUUUGGAACAGCAAAUAUUAUUGAAUUCAGCAGAACUUUUAUUGUGUGCUUUGUGAGUUAUACAUAAGGUGGAAAAGUGGAGUACAUUUCAAGCCAACAUAUUAAGCAACAUAGAAGUGACUUCUGUAAUUAAAUCAUUUUUUAAUCAUCAAAAUUGAAAAUAAGAGAAAACAACUUCUGAAGUCCAGGGUCAAUCAGCUAAAUAAACUCAAGUCAUUCAGUCAACUAGCAUUGAUUGGAUUUCAGCAAGAUGAAAUCGACUUUGCUCCAACUCCACCCACUUCACAAACUAAUUAAAAAAGUACAUCAGCGACAUCUUCAAUCAGCUCAGGAAGAUAAGUGGGCUUCAAAGUAAUCAACUACAAAACUCUGUCAAGAAUAGCAAUAGAUCCUCAAAGAACUUUGGGGAGCUUUCUCAAAGUUAUUCACGUCAAUCAGAAGAACAAAAACUCAGAGCCAUGUGAUUGUAAUUUUAGGGGACCUUUUUGGACAAUGUGGCUGACUUAUAAGAAAGAAAACCACACACCAGCAGGGCAUAUAUUAGCAUCCAAGAUCUCACUCAACUUCAGUCCACCUAAAUUCCCAUCAAGCAAGAGUAACAACAAUGCUUGGAUCAGAAGGGCUUGAAGGGUCAUUGGACAAAUCAUUUAAAAUGUCUAGAAAUGUACAAGCUCCUAUGGUCCUCAAAUGGAACAGAGGAUUAUUAGAUUACCCUUUGCAAGGAACCCUGGCUGCAGAUCAGUAAAAGGCUUUGCAUUGUGAGUGUCUCAUUCUCUUUACUGUCCAAAACACCGUAGAACAUUUUGUUCAUUUUUGAAUAGAGGAAUGAAUAAAAGAAGCACUUUGAGUUCAUUCAAGGACAAAGAAAUUUUUUUAUUCUUUCUAUGUAUUUCCAUUCUCAAAGUCCUGGAAGUCUAAUUUCUUAAUGAAAGAUAUCCAUCUAUUCAAGGGUCUGCUUUAUUGACAAUCCUAGGUAAAAGAUUCAGGAAAAAAACUGAAAAUGAAAAUUUCUUCCUUUAACUCUUGGAUGACAAAAAAACGAGGAAUAAGAAAGGAAGGAGGGAAAAAAGAAAGAAAAGACACUGAAUAACACAGGAGACUAUGCAUGUCUAGUAUGGCAUUAAGUUUUCUGUUUGAUCCUAUUGGUCUUCAGUGAUAACACCUCUUUCUCUCUCUCUCUCUCUCUCUCUCCCUCUCUCUCUCUCCCUCUCUUUUUCUUUUUCUAGUGUCUGUUUCAUUUAUGGCCCAAGUCUCUGUUCAGAAUUAUUGUUACUUUAUAUGUGUG